CCCUCAUGAAUUCCUUGAUGCCUUCGUCC
Molecule: non-coding RNA, 29 nt
Filed under: Rattus norvegicus (Norway rat)
Lineage: Eukaryota; Metazoa; Chordata; Mammalia; Rodentia; Muridae
Source: RNAcentral